UUGAGUCUGGAUUUUGACUUUUCUUGUUUUCAACCUCAUCUUUUUGCCAGUCGUUUGGAUUGUUUGCCUGAUCGCCUGACCUCUGCCUGUCUGUUUAUUGAUUUCUGCCUGACCCUUUGGACUUGCUCUUUUAGGUUUAAAUUAUUAACUUGCACUUGCUUCCAUCUCAGCCUCUGUUACGUGACAGGCUUGUUGUGUGAGAAAGCAUAAGGGAGGCAUAGAGGUAACAUUUUCCACCACAGCUACUUAGGGAUCAUAAAAAAUGAAGGCGAUUUUCAGUUGUCUGGUUGUCUUACUCUUUAUAAAUUACAGUGAGGCUUUGAGGUGUUAUGGAUGUGUUGGAAAAGGCUGUUCAGGUAGACAAGAGAAAUGUGGCUCUCUUUUGCGAAAUCCUGUCUGUGCCACCAUAGAUGCCCCAAGAUUUUAUAUGAAAGGAUGCAUGAGUGAGUACAUCUGUAGGGAGCAACAGCAGGCUCCCGGUACCACUGCUACCUGCUGCAGUAACGACUUCUGCAACCGCUAAGAAGGACAUCACCCAUGGUCCCUUUAUGACCAUCACUAGCCAAGAUGUGAAAAUCCAUUAAUCAUUCAUAUUUCAUCUGUAUAAAAUAUAAUGUGUACAUUUCAGGCAUCUGCAUUAAUUGAUUUGUUUUGUUAAAUAAUGGGAAUUUUUAUUUCCAUUAAAUAAAAGAAUUAACUGCA
Long non-coding RNA from Ictalurus punctatus (channel catfish), 702 nucleotides. RefSeq lists it as uncharacterized. NCBI's taxonomy places the organism in Eukaryota, Metazoa, Chordata, Actinopteri, Siluriformes, Ictaluridae. The record is from RefSeq and is a predicted model, not a curated record. The transcript is spliced from 5 exons.